CCUACGGGAGGCAGCAGUGGGGAAUCUUGGACAAUGGGGGCAACCCUGAUCCAGCCAUGCCGCGUGAGUGAUGAAGGCCCUAGGGUCGUAAAGCUCUUUCGCCUGUGAAGAUAAUGACGGUAGCAGGUAAAGAAACCCCGGCUAACUCCGUGCCAGCAGCCGCGGUAAUACGGAGGGGGUUAGCGUUGUUCGGAAUUACUGGGCGUAAAGCGCACGUAGGCGGACUGGAAAGUUAGGGGUGAAAUCCCGGGGCUCAACCCCGGAACUGCCUUUAAAACUCCCAGUCUAGAGUUCGAGAGAGGUGAGUGGAAUUCCGAGUGUAGAGGUGAAAUUCGUAGAUAUUCGGAGGAACACCAGUGGCGAAGGCGGCUCACUGGCUCGAUACUGACGCUGAGGUGCGAAAGUGUGGGGAGCAAACAGGAUUAGAUACCCUGGUAGUCCACACCGUAAACGAUGAAUGCCAGUCGUCGGGUAGCAUGCUAUUCGGUGACACACCUAACGGAUUAAGCAUUCCGCCUGGGGAGUACGGUCGCAAGAUUAAAACUCAAAGGAAUUGACGG
RNAcentral lists this ribosomal RNA (560 nucleotides) under uncultured bacterium. Its description in RNAcentral is "bacterial SSU rRNA". It matches the Rfam family "Bacterial small subunit ribosomal RNA", at positions 338 to 916 of the family's 1533-position model. The record is from RNAcentral.